Molecule: long non-coding RNA, 159 nt
Organism: Etheostoma spectabile (orangethroat darter)
Lineage: Eukaryota; Metazoa; Chordata; Actinopteri; Perciformes; Percidae
Exons: 3
Source: RefSeq, a predicted model, not a curated record
CCCUGUGUUGGUUGUUUAUAGAGUUGUCUGUUACUGGUGAGGAUGAUGAAGAUGAUGACACAGAGCUACCACCACCAUCACCCCCCCACAGGACUGCAGCUCGCCGGUCCAUCUGCCUCCGUGUCAUCACGGCAAGCCAGACGAGGAAAAAGACAGCGC